RNAcentral lists this ribosomal RNA (503 nucleotides) under uncultured bacterium. RNAcentral's name for it is "partial 16S ribosomal RNA". It matches the Rfam family "Bacterial small subunit ribosomal RNA", at positions 30 to 523 of the family's 1533-position model. The record is from RNAcentral.
AUUGAACGCUGGCGGCAGGCUUAACACAUGCAAGUCGAGCGGGGUGAUGGUGCUUGCACUAUCACUUAGCGGCGGACGGGUGAGUAAUGCUUAGGAAUCUGCCUAUUAGUGGGGGACAACAUCUCGAAAGGGAUGCUAAUACCGCAUACGUCCUACGGGAGAAAGCAGGGGAUCACUUGUGACCUUGCGCUAAUAGAUGAGCCUAAGUCGGAUUAGCUAGUUGGUGGGAUAAAGGCCUACCAAGGCGACGAUCUGUAGCGGGUCGGAGAGGAUGAUCCGCCACACUGGGACUGAGACACGGCCCAGACUCCUACGGGAGGCAGCGGUGGGGAAUAUUGGACAAUGGGGGGAACCCUGAUCUAGCCGUGCCGCGUGUGUGAAGAAGGCCUUAUGGUUGUAAAGCACUUUAAGCGAGGAGGAGGCUCUUUUGGUUAAUACCCAAGAUGAGUGGACGUUACUCGCAGAAUAAGCACCGGCUAACUCUGUGCCAGCAGCCGCCGUAA